GCUGGGCAUGGUGGCUCACGCCUGUAAUCCCAGCACUUUGGGAGGCUGAGGCAGGCGGAUCACCUGAGGUCAGGAGUUCGAGACCAGCCUGGCCAACAUGGUGAAACCCUGUCUCUA
RNAcentral lists this non-coding RNA (117 nucleotides) under Chlorocebus sabaeus (green monkey). The record is from Rfam by way of RNAcentral. Lineage: Eukaryota; Metazoa; Chordata; Mammalia; Primates; Cercopithecidae.